GAGGAAGGUGGGUAUGUUAAUAGCAUACUCAUUUGACGUUAGCUGCAGAAGAAGCACCGGCUAACUCCGUGCCAGCAGCCGCGGUAAUACGGAGGGUGCGAGCGUUAAUCGGAAUUACUGGGCGUAAAGCGCAUGCAGGUGGUUUGUUAAGUCAGAUGUGAAAGCCCGGGGCUCAACCUCGGAAUUGCAUUUGAAACUGGCAAACUAGAGUACUGUAGAGGGGGUAGAAUUUCAGGUGUAGCGGUGAAAUGCGUAGAGAUCUGAAGGAAUACCGGUGGCGAAGGCGGCCCCCCUGGACAGAUACUGACACUCAGAUGCGAAAGCGUGGGGAGCAAACAGGAUUAGAUACCCUGGUAG
Molecule: ribosomal RNA, 357 nt
Filed under: uncultured bacterium
Lineage: Bacteria
Description: bacterial SSU rRNA
Rfam family: Bacterial small subunit ribosomal RNA
Source: RNAcentral